RNAcentral lists this ribosomal RNA (468 nucleotides) under uncultured bacterium. Its description in RNAcentral is "partial 16S ribosomal RNA". It matches the Rfam family "Bacterial small subunit ribosomal RNA", at positions 28 to 507 of the family's 1533-position model. The record is from RNAcentral.
GACGAACGCUGGCGGCGUGCUUAACACAUGCAAGUCGAACGGAAAGGCCCUGCUUUUGUGGGGUGCUCGAGUGGCGAACGGGUGAGUAACACGUGAGUAACCUGCCCUUGACUUUGGGAUAACUUCAGGAAACUGGGGCUAAUACCGGAUAGGAGCUCCUGCUGCAUGGUGGGGGUUGAAAAGUUUCGGCGGUUGGGGAUGGACUCGCGGCUUAUCAGCUUGUUGGUGGGGUAGUGGCUUACCAAGGCUUUGACGGGUAGCCGGCCUGAGAGGGUGACCGGCCACAUUGGGACUGAGAUACGGCCCAGACUCCUACGGGAGGCAGCAGUGGGGAAUAUUGCACAAUGGGCGGAAGCCUGAUGCAGCAACGCCGCGUGCGGGAUGACGGCCUUCGGGUUGCAAACCGCUUUCGCCUGUGACGAAGCGUGAGUGACGGUAAUGGGUAAAGAAGCACCGGCUAACUACGUG